AAGUUUGAUCAUGGCUCAGGAUGAACGCUGGCGGCGUGCUUAACACAUGCAAGUCGAACGGGGAUAAGGGAAGCUUGCUUUCCUUAUCUUAGUGGCGGACGGGUGAGUAACGCGUGGAUAACCUGGCCCAUACAGGGGGAUAGCAGCUGGAAACGGCUGGUAAUACCGCAUAAGCGCACGGUACGGCAUCGUACAGUGUGAAAAACUCCGGUGGUAUGGGAUGGGUCCGCGUCUGAUUAGGCAGUUGGCGGGGUAAAGGCCCACCAAACCGACGAUCAGUAGCCGGCCUGAGAGGGUGGGCGGCCACAUUGGGACUGAGACACGGCCCAAACUCCUACGGGAGGCAGCAGUGGGGAAUAUUGCACAAUGGGGGAAACCCUGAUGCAGCGACGCCGCGUGGGUGAAGAAGUAUUUCGGUAUGUAAAGCCCUAUCANCAGGGAAGAUAGUGACGGUACCUGAGUAAGAAGCCCCGGCUAACUACAUGCCAGCAGCCGCGGUAAUACGUAAGGGGCAAGCGUUAUCCGG
RNAcentral lists this ribosomal RNA (526 nucleotides) under uncultured bacterium. RNAcentral's name for it is "bacterial SSU rRNA". It matches the Rfam family "Bacterial small subunit ribosomal RNA", at positions 9 to 548 of the family's 1533-position model. The record is from RNAcentral.